GUGCUCACUUAGGCAGCACAUAAACUAAAAUUGGAAUGAUACAGAGAAGAUCAGCAUGGCCCCUGCACAAGGAUGACAUGCACAUUAGUGAAGUGUUUCAUAUAUGU
Arvicanthis niloticus (Nile rat) is the source of this 107-nucleotide non-coding RNA. The record is from RefSeq and is a predicted model, not a curated record. Lineage: Eukaryota; Metazoa; Chordata; Mammalia; Rodentia; Muridae.